AUACGUAGGGGGCGAGCGUUGUCCGGAAUGACUGGGCGUAAAGGGCGUGUAGGCGGCGGUGUAAGUCUGGAGUGAAAGUCCCGCAUUCGAUGUGGGAAUUGCUUUGGAUACUGCAGUGCUAGAGUGCGGAAGAGGUAAGUGGAAUUCCCAGUGUAGCGGUGAAAUGCGUAGAGAUUGGGAGGAACACCAGUGGCGAAGGCGACUUACUGGGCCGUAACUGACGCUGAGGCGCGAAAGCGUGGGGAGCGAACAGGAUUAGAUACCCUGGUAGUCCACGCGGUAAACGAUGAAUGCUAGGUGUAAGAGGUAUCGACCCCUUUUGUGCCGGAGUUAACACAAUAAGCAUUCCGCCUGGGAAGUACGGCCGCAAGGUUGAAACUCAAAUGAAUUGACGGGG
RNAcentral lists this ribosomal RNA (397 nucleotides) under uncultured bacterium. RNAcentral describes it as "partial 16S ribosomal RNA". It matches the Rfam family "Bacterial small subunit ribosomal RNA", at positions 523 to 918 of the family's 1533-position model. The record is from RNAcentral.